CAGCAGUGGGGAAUAUUGCACAAUGGGCGAAAGCCUGAUGCAGCGACGCCGCGUGAGGGAUGACGGCCUUCGGGUUGUAAACCUCUUUCAGUAGGGAAGAAGCGAAAGUGACGGUACCUGCAGAAGAAGCGCCGGCUAACUACGUGCCAGCAGCCGCGGUAAUACGUAGGGCGCAAGCGUUAUCCGGAUUUAUUGGGCGUAAAGAGCUCGUAGGCGGUUUGUCGCGUCUGCCGUGAAAGUCCGAGGCUCAACCUCGGAUCUGCGGUGGGUACGGGCAGACUAGAGUGAUGUAGGGGAGACUGGAAUUCCUGGUGUAGCGGUGAAAUGCGCAGAUAUCAGGAGGAACACCGAUGGCGAAGGCAGGUCUCUGGGCAUUUACUGACGCUGAGGAGCGAAAGCAUGGGGAGCGAACAGGAUUAGAUACCCUGGUAGUCCAUGCCGUAAACGUUGGGCACUAGG
RNAcentral lists this ribosomal RNA (459 nucleotides) under Arthrobacter sp. NCIM 2935. RNAcentral describes it as "bacterial SSU rRNA". It matches the Rfam family "Bacterial small subunit ribosomal RNA", at positions 349 to 820 of the family's 1533-position model. Lineage: Bacteria; Bacillati; Actinomycetota; Actinomycetes; Micrococcales; Micrococcaceae. The record is from RNAcentral.